Molecule: ribosomal RNA, 510 nt
Filed under: Scheffersomyces stipitis
Lineage: Eukaryota; Fungi; Ascomycota; Pichiomycetes; Serinales; Debaryomycetaceae
Description: eukaryotic LSU rRNA
Rfam family: Eukaryotic large subunit ribosomal RNA
Source: RNAcentral
CGGCGAGUGAAGCGGCAAAAGCUCAAAUUUGAAAUCUGGCACCUUCGGUGUCCGAGUUGUAAUUUGAAGAAGGUAACUUUGGAGUCAGCUCUUGUCUAUGUUCCUUGGAACAGGACGUCACAGAGGGUGAGAAUCCCGUGCGAUGAGAUGUCUGAUUCUAUGUAAAGUGCUUUCGAAGAGUCGAGUUGUUUGGGAAUGCAGCUCUAAGUGGGUGGUAAAUUCCAUCUAAAGCUAAAUAUUGGCGAGAGACCGAUAGCGAACAAGUACAGUGAUGGAAAGAUGAAAAGAACUUUGAAAAGAGAGUGAAAAAGUACGUGAAAUUGUUGAAAGGGAAGGGUUUGAGAUCAGACUUGGUAUUUUGUAUGUCUUGCUUUCGGGUGGGGCCUCUACAGUUUACUGGGCCAGCAUCGGUUUGGACGGUAGGAUAAUGACAUUGGAAUGUGGCACCACUUCGGUGGUGUGUUAUAGACUUUGUUGAUACUGCCUGUCUAGACCGAGGACUGCGUCUUU